Molecule: long non-coding RNA, 367 nt
Filed under: Homo sapiens (human)
Lineage: Eukaryota; Metazoa; Chordata; Mammalia; Primates; Hominidae
Description: HSALNT0261165
Source: RNAcentral
CAGUGGAGAGGCAUCCUGGCUGGUCUGCGGGUGAGAGCUGAUGAGCAGGAGAAACUCGUGGGGGCUGUCAGAUUUGGCCAGAGACAGAUGCUCCAACAGGCAGAUACUGUGACUGUCAGUCGGAAGCCAUUGGCGUUUGCCAGACAGUGGAAGGAGAGGGUCAGUUCGUCGUGCUCUUGGCCGGGGGCAGGCAGGCAACCUGUCGUGCCUUUAAGGACCUUUGGGUGAUUAGAGACAGGCAGGCAGCUUGCCGCCUGGAAAUGAUCAAGUGGUCAGCCUGACCAAAUUCAGGACAGCUGAAGGGUCUGACUGGGCACUGUGUGACUGGUGGGUUGGAGGCUGUCGUGUGGCUGAGCAGAGAUGGCCA